RNAcentral lists this transfer RNA (72 nucleotides) under Ornithorhynchus anatinus (platypus). It matches the Rfam family "tRNA". From Rfam's summary of the family: Transfer RNA (tRNA) molecules are approximately 80 nucleotides in length. Their secondary structure includes four short double-helical elements and three loops (D, anti-codon, and T loops). The record is from Rfam by way of RNAcentral. Lineage: Eukaryota; Metazoa; Chordata; Mammalia; Monotremata; Ornithorhynchidae.
GGUAGUGUGGCCUAAUGGAAAGAGUACAGGUCUGGAAGUCAGGGGGCCUGGGUUCCAAUCCCAGCUCCACCA